GCCAGGUGUGGUGGUGCACACCUGUAAUCCCAGCUACUCGGGAGGCUGAGGCAUGAGAAUCACUUGAACCCAGGAGGUGGAGGUUGCAGUGCGUUGAGAUUAUGUCACUGCACUCCAGCCUGGGUGACAGAGUGAGACCCUGUCUCAA
Gorilla gorilla gorilla (western lowland gorilla) is the source of this 148-nucleotide non-coding RNA. It matches the Rfam family "Metazoan signal recognition particle RNA". Rfam says of the family: The signal recognition particle (SRP) is a universally conserved ribonucleoprotein. It is involved in the co-translational targeting of proteins to membranes. The eukaryotic SRP consists of a 300-nucleotide 7S RNA and six proteins: SRPs 72, 68, 54, 19, 14, and 9. NCBI's taxonomy places the organism in Eukaryota, Metazoa, Chordata, Mammalia, Primates, Hominidae. The record is from Rfam.